Molecule: ribosomal RNA, 572 nt
Filed under: Kuraishia ogatae
Lineage: Eukaryota; Fungi; Ascomycota; Pichiomycetes; Pichiales; Pichiaceae
Description: eukaryotic LSU rRNA
Rfam family: Eukaryotic large subunit ribosomal RNA
Source: RNAcentral
AAACCAACAGGGAUUGCCUUAGUAGCGGCGAGUGAAGCGGCAAGAGCUCAAAUUUGAAAUCUGGUACCUUCGGUGCCCGAGUUGUAAUUUGAAGAAGGUAUUCUUGGAGUUGGCCCUUGUCUAUGUUCCUUGGAACAGGACGUCACAGAGGGUGAGAAUCCCGUGCGAUGGGGUGUCCAAUUCUAUGUAAGAUUCCUUCGAAGAGUCGAGUUGUUUGGGAAUGCAGCUCUAAGUGGGUGGUAAAUUCCAUCUAAAGCUAAAUAUUGGCGAGAGACCGAUAGCGAACAAGUACAGUGAUGGAAAGAUGAAAAGAACUUUGAAAAGAGAGUGAAAAAGUACGUGAAAUUGUUGAAAGGGAAGGGCUUUAGAUCAGACUUGGUAUUUAGUGAUCGUUUCUCCUUGUGGGUUGCGCUCUCGCUUUUUACUGGGCCAGCAUCGGUUUGGAUGGCAGGAUAAUGACAGUUGAAUGUGGCUUCGCUUCGGUGGAGUGUUAUAGCUUCUGUUGAUACUGCCUAUCUAGACCGAGGUCUGCGUCUUAUGACUAGGAUGUUGGCGUAAUGAUCUAAAGCCGC